This 3056-nucleotide ribosomal RNA is filed under the name Chloroflexota bacterium. RNAcentral's name for it is "23S ribosomal RNA". It matches the Rfam family "Bacterial large subunit ribosomal RNA". The record is from RNAcentral. Lineage: Bacteria; Bacillati; Chloroflexota.
GGUCAAAUUAUGAAGGGCUUACGGUGGAUGCCUUGGGACCAAGGGCCGAAGAAGGACGCGGUAAGGCUGCGAAAAGCCUCGAUGAGCCGUCUAACAGGCGUAAUCGGGGGUCUCCGAAUUGGGUAACCUGUUCCGGCGUUGAGUCGGUCCACCCGCUCCGGCGGGAGGUAAGUGGGGGAACUGAAACAUCUAAGUACCCCGAGGAAAAGAAAUCAACCGAGAUUCCCUCAGUAGUGGCGAACGAACGGGGAAGAGCCUAAACCGCAACGACCGAACGGCAUGAGGGCCUAUGUCGUUGCGGGGUUACAGGACGUUUCUGGAGUCGCCUCAUCAGGCUCCAAGGAGUUACAAACUUCAUUUCUAGCCGAAGGACCCUGGGAAGGGCCGCCGAAGACGGUGACAGCCCGGUAGGCGAAAGGAAUGAAGCUCCUGAAGCAGAUCCUAAGUACCAUGGGGCACGUGAAACCUUGUGGGAAGUUGGGGGGACCACCCUCCAAGGCUAAAUACUCUUGGUCACCGAUAGCGCACCAGUACCGUGAGGGAAAGGUGAAAAGAACCCCUGGCGGGGAGUGAAAUAGACCUGAAACCGUAAGCCUACAGAAGGUCGGAGUCCGUAUUUACGGAUGACGGCGUGCCUAUUGAAGAAUGAUCCGGGGACUUACUGUAUGGAGCGAGGUUAAGGGACUGUAGUUCCGGAGCCGUAGCGAAAGCGAGUCUGAACAGGGCGACCAGUUCCAUGUAGUAGACCCGAAACCGAGUGAGCUACCCAUGGCCAGAUUGAAGGUUCGUUAACGCGGACUGAAGGAUCGAACUCGUAGCUAGUACAAAAGCUUGGGAUGAGCUGUGGGUAGAGGUGAAAUGCCAAUCGAACUCGGAAAUAGCUGGUUCUCCCCGAAAUGCAUUUAGGUGCAGCCUCGGGAACUAGGAGGACGGAGGUAGGGCACUGAAUGGGCUAGGGGGCGUGAGCUUACCAAACUCAAUCAAACCACCAAUGCCGUUCUACCGAUACCCGGGAGUGAGACAGUCACAGAUAAGUGCGAUUGUCAAGAGGGAAACAGCCCAGACCACCGGCUAAGGCCCCCAAGAGCAGACUAAGUGGGAAACGAGGUGGGGUUCCCAAAACAGCCAGGAGGUUGGCUUAGAAGCAGCCACCCUUUAAAGAGUGCGUAAUAGCUCACUGGUCGAGGGAUCCUGCGCGGAAAAUGUAACGGGGCUUAAGUUUGCCGCCGAAGCCGUGGAUGUACAGGUACAGGCCGGAACCGACUGAGGUAGAAGUUGCCUCUUCGGAGUUGACGGAAGCUGAGGAAGGGGAAAGUCUGAGUUACGCCUGGGCAUGGUAGGGGAGCGUUCCUCGUGCGGAGAAGGCGAGUCGUGAGGCUCGUUGGAGCGCGGGGAAGUGAGAAUCCCGGAAUGAGUAGCGUAAAUCAGGGUGAGAAUCCCUGACACCGAAAGCCCAAGGUUUCCUACGCAACGUUGUUCGGCGUAGGGUUAGUCGGUCCUAAGCCGUAGGCAAGAGCCGAAGGCGAUGGACAGCAGGUUAAUAUUCCUGCACCGCCGUUGUUUCGCUUAAAACCAAGGAGGGGUGCGGGAGGCUAGGCGGGGCGUGCCCAUUGGACAUGGUGCGUCCUUGCUUGUAGGCGUUCCGGGGCAGGCAAAUCCACCCCGGUGUUAAGCUGAGGAGUGAGGGAAUCCCGACCUACGGGAACGGAGACCCCGUUGAGGCCAUACCGACAAGAAAAGCUUCGUGGUUAUGGAGCUGCGGCGACCGUACCGCAAACCGCCACUGGUGGGCUGGGAUAAAAGUCCCUAGGUGUUCGAGCUAACCUCCGCUAAGGAACUAGACAAAAGGGCCCCGUAACUUCGGGAGAAGGGGCCCCCUGGAUGGUGAAACCGCUAGCCGGUGGAGCUGUCUGGGGGCGCAGAGAAGAAGGCCGGGCGACUGUUUAACAAAAACACAGGUCUGUGCUAAGGGGAAACCCUACGUAUACAGGCUGACGCCUGCCCAGUGCCGGAAGGUUAAGGGGCGGUGUGCAAGCACCAAACUGAAGCCCCGGUGAACGGCGGCCGUAACUCUAACGGUCCUAAGGUAGCGAAGUCCCUUGUCGGGUAAGUUCCGACCCGCAUGAAUGGUUGAACGACUUGGCCAUUGUCUCGGCGGAGGGCUCGGUGAAAUUGCGGUGCCCGUGAAGACGCGGGCGACCCGCGGCAGGACAAAAAGACCCCGUGGAGCUUUACUGUAGCCUGGCAUUGGGCUGGGAGCUGUCAUGUGUAGGAUAGGUGGGAGACUUAGAAGCGCCUACGCCAGUAGGUGUGGAGUCGUCGUUGAAAUACCACCCUUGGCUGUUUUUGGUUCUAACCUCAGCAAAACUGGGGAACAGUGCUUGGUGGGCAGUUUAACUGGGGCGGUUGCCUCCAAAAAAGUAACGGAGGCGCCCAAAGGUCCUCUCAGGACGGAUGGAAAUCGUCCACAGAACGCAUUGGCAUAAGAGGGCUUGACUGCGAGACCUACAAGUCGAGCAGGGACGAAAGUCGGGCAAAGUGAUCCUACGGCACCGAGUGGAAGGGCCGUGGCUUAUCGGAUAAAAGCUACCCCGGGGAUAACAGGCUUAUCUCGCCCAAGAGUUCACAUCGACGGCGAGGUUUGGCACCUCGAUGUCGCCUCGUCCCAUCCUGGGGCUGAAGGAGGUCCCAAGGGUUCGGCUGUUCGCCGAUUAAAGGGGUACGUGAGUUGGGUUCAGAACGUCGUGAGACAGUUCGGUCUCUAUCCGCCGUGGGCGCAGGAGGCUUGAGGGAACCUUUCCCUAGUACGAGAGGACCGGGAAGGACAAACCUAUGGUGUUCCAGUUGUUCCGCCAGGAGCAGUGCUGGGUAGCCAUGUUUGGCAGCGAUAAGCGCUGAAGGCAUCUAAGCGCGAAGCAUCCCCCAAGAUAAGGCCUCCCUCCCCGAUUCAGUUCGGGGGUAAGACUGCAGCGAGACUAGCUGCUUGAUAGGCCGGAUGUGUAAGGCUGGCAACAGCUUCAGCAAACCGGUACUAACCAGUCGAGAGAUUUGACCCA